This is a non-coding RNA of Vicia faba (fava bean), 210 nucleotides long. The record is from the annotation of a GenBank genome assembly. NCBI's taxonomy places the organism in Eukaryota, Viridiplantae, Streptophyta, Magnoliopsida, Fabales, Fabaceae.
AUGAUAACCAAAAAGAAAUUCGCAAAAGUAAUAGAGAGAAGUAGAAUCGAAGGAGAAGGAAGAAGCUUACAAAUACCUAAAAUAGAGAAUCUAUGGACUUCUUAUAUUCAUCUUCAAAGCAUUGCAACAAUAUCCAGGACUAGCCACUGUCAUUUUGGUAUGCUUGAGUUCAUCCAGUUCUUCAUUUUCCUCGCUUGGUCUUUAUAUUAG